GAUGAACGCUAGCGGCAGGCCUAACACAUGCAAGUCGAGGGGCAGCACAUAAAGUGGUUUACUACUUUUGGUGGCGACCGGCGGACGGGUGCGUAACGCGUAUGCAACCUGCCUCCAACAGGGGGAUAACGGAGAGAAAUUUCCACUAAUACCCCAUAAUAUCAGAAUCGGCAUCGGUUUUGGUUGAAAACUCCGGUGGUUGGAGAUGGGCAUGCGUUGUAUUAGAUAGUUGGUGAGGUAACGGCUCACCAAGUCAACGAUACAUAGGGGGACUGAGAGGUUAGCCCCCCAAACUGGCACUGAGACACGGACCAGACUCCUACGGGAGGCAGCAGUGAGGAAUAUUGGUCAAUGGGGGCAACCUUGAACCAGCCAUGCCGCGUGCAGGAAGACGGCUCUAUGAGUUGUAAACUGCUUUUACAAGGGGAUAAAUCGGUGUACGUGUACACCGUUGAAGGUACCUUGGGAAUAAGGAUCGGCUAACUCCAUGCCAGCCGCCGCAGUAA
This 506-nucleotide ribosomal RNA is filed under the name uncultured bacterium. Its description in RNAcentral is "partial 16S ribosomal RNA". It matches the Rfam family "Bacterial small subunit ribosomal RNA", at positions 28 to 523 of the family's 1533-position model. The record is from RNAcentral.